CGUUAUGGGCGGGCCGUGUGUGGGGGCCUCACGGCCCGCCGGUCCCGUUUCCGGUACGCCAACCCGCACGGUUCCGCUCUCCCAA
Molecule: non-coding RNA, 85 nt
Filed under: Pseudomonas sp. OF001
Lineage: Bacteria; Pseudomonadati; Pseudomonadota; Gammaproteobacteria; Pseudomonadales; Pseudomonadaceae
Source: RNAcentral